UCAUCUCUUGUGGGCAGGUUGUUACGAGCUUGUCACCUUGCAUCAGCUAUGUGAGGCAAGGUGGUGCUCUUCCAACACCAUGUUGCAGUGGGAUUAAGGCCCUCAACAGCCAAGCUACCACCACUCCUGAUCGUCAGGCGGCGUGUAACUGCAUUAAAUCUGCUGUUGCAGGUAUCAGUGGCAUCAACUUCAGUCUUGCUGGUAGUCUCCCUAGCAAAUAUGGUGUCAACCUUCCCUACAAGAUUAGCCCUUCCAUUGACUGCUCCACGUAAGUAUUCACUCCGUAUCAGUUUCAUUUAUGUUAAUUUUAGCUACAUCACUUGUUACGAAAUUUUAGAAUAUAUGAAAAAGACUUUUAAACUAAAUAUAUGUAUGGCAUACCAAAAAUUAUUAUUUCCGCUUUCUUAAUUUUUUUGGUUGAUUAUGAAUAUUGCAGGGUGCAGUAAGAUUUGUGAAGUAAUUUGUGCAUGGUAGCAGGACGCAGAAUAUAGGGCAUACAAGAUGGAAUAAAUAAUACUAGUUGCUUGGACUAAAUGGAUGAAGUUUUCGCAGCACUCUUUAUGUUUCCGUUGUUCAAUCGUCAAUUUUAUAGUCUUGUAGUUGUGUGUAUGUUCAUCAUCUUGCUAUUAAGAGUUAUUGAUUAUAUGAUAUCCUGCUACUUCUUGUAAUUUAUGCUCUAGGGGAAUGAAUAUCCAUACAUAGAUUUCUUUCUUCUAGGGUGUCGACCAUCAGAUCUCUCUAUGCAAAUUUUUAGGGCCCCGUUUUGAAAUUAAUAAUAUGUUAAUUAUGUGUUAAUUUCCUGUAUAAAAAUCUAUAUAUUAUUAAAAGCACAGGAAAAAAUCAUCUCCUUAAGCCAAUUGUCGGCCUAGAAAAAAGUCACAUGGCAUAAGUAGUUAAUAAUUAAUUAUUGAAUAUUAUUUUAGAAUUUAAAUAUUUAUAAAAUAAUAAUAACAUAUAUUUUAUAAUAAAAAACGAAAAAGAAAAUUGUCCAUUCAAAUUGGAGAGUUGUUUUGAGUUGGAGUUUUUAAUAUUUUAAAAUAAAAUAAAUUAUUUUAAAUAGCUACAUGAAAGUUAAAGUCACGGAAAAAAACUCAUAAACUGUUAUUAACACAUCACUCCGAAACAUCAACAAAAGCUAAGUAUUUUGUACAUCAAUUAGACAUGUGUGCACUAAUAAUUAGACCACCAAGAUAUAUAAAAUGGGGAAAACAACAAAAGCAAAUAAGACAAUGAAAGGAAAAAUAGCCAAGACUUAACAAAAUCUAGCUAGUGAUUCGUACACUAAAAUUCAAUUAGGUCCCCCACAAAAAAAAGGAAAGAAACAUGAAGAGCAAAGCAUUAAAUUGUACUCAACUACCAACCGUCCAAGAAUCCAGCUAGUGAGACUAAUAACUCUGCAGACAACAAUAUACUUAGUUACAAAUUCUUCUAUAUAAUAAAGAGCACUUUCACAACCCUUCCUCACACACCAAGUAGAAUUUGCAUAAACAAAACACUACUUCCCUUGUUAGCAAAUACACAUCUUAAAACUAGCUCAUUCAAAAAUGGUGAAGGUAGCAUUGUUGGUAGUAAUGUGCAUUGCAGCAGCAACGUCAGUGAUGUUAACGCCCCAUGCAGACGCUGCCAUCUCUUGUGGGCAGGUUGUUACGAGGUUGUCACCUUGCAUCAGCUAUGUGAGGCAAGGUGGCGCUAUUCCAGCACCAUGCUGCAGUGGGAUUAAGGCCCUCAACAGCCAAGCUACCACCACUCCUGAUCGUCAGGCGACGUGUAACUGUAUUAAAUCUGCUGCUGCAAGCAUCAAUGGCAUCAACUUCAGUCUUGCUGGUAGUCUCCCUAGCAAAUGUGGUGUCAACCUUCCCUACAAGAUUAGCCCUUCCAUUGACUGCUCCACGUACGUAUCUAAUACGCACCUUUAAUUUUGUAAUAGUACAUGAGUACUGCACGUUAACACCCUCUUCAUUACGCUUUGAAAAUAAUCCUGGCAGCACAUAGAAAAUAUAAAUAUUUUUGUCAUUUCAUUCUUCUCUUUAUCAAUUAGAUGCCUUUCGCCUCUCCAGAAAAUAAAUACUGCCACCACUUUUUCCUCCAUUCCUCCUUAGGACCUUUUAUUGGUUUUCUCCUACAAUUGAGUCUCAUAAGUCACGUGUCAAAUAAACAAGUGUGCCUCACAUAAUAACUACUUUGGUUUAGAUGUACAAAUUAAUAUGACUCUCAAGUAAUAAAAAUGCGAGGUUAACUUAAAGGGCAAAUCAUGGAAAAACAGGCAAUAUGUUAGCAAAACCCAAAAUUUAAUUUUAAAUGUAUACUAAUUUAAAGACUGAAUCUAUGAUUAAAAAAAAUGAAUUAUAAGAUUGAAACUGCUUUGAGCUUCAACUUACCAGAAAUUACACCAUUGAGUUUGUUCAUUUUUCUCUAAUUCUUCUUUGGUCGUCGGUUUAUAAAUGUUGCAGGGUGCAGUAAGAUUUGUGAGUGACCUUAUUUAGGGUAGCAGGAUGAAAGAUAUGGGACAUACGACAUGGAAUAAAUAAGAUGAGUUCUUGGAGAAGAUGG
Molecule: long non-coding RNA, 2550 nt
Filed under: Nicotiana tabacum (common tobacco)
Lineage: Eukaryota; Viridiplantae; Streptophyta; Magnoliopsida; Solanales; Solanaceae
Description: long non-coding RNA (NTAB_LNC014979)
Source: RNAcentral